RNAcentral lists this long non-coding RNA (450 nucleotides) under Setaria viridis. RNAcentral's name for it is "long non-coding RNA (SVIR_LNC005921)". Lineage: Eukaryota; Viridiplantae; Streptophyta; Magnoliopsida; Poales; Poaceae. The record is from RNAcentral.
UGGAUUUGAAUUCUCGACCUAGUGAAUCAAAAUGUAUGUUGCAUUUUCGGAUUAUUGUCCAUGUCAAAAGCAAGGCACCUCUGACUUAGCCAAUAUUAAGGUUCUGUUUGGCAUGGCUCCAGCUCUGGGUGGAGCUGCUCUACUCCAAAACUCCAGGUAGAGUCAGCUCCACUCCAAGACUCCAGAAAUAAAAUGGGGUGUUUGGCUAGAUGGGUACUCUCAGCUCCAAAAAAAAAUCGAUUUCAGUGUUAAUUGCCAUUGUUGCUCCCAAUUCAGGCCCCACUUGUCAUCAUCUUCCCCUCCUUUCUUCCUCCUUUCUUUCCUCUCUCUGCCGUUGCCCACGAGUGAUACACCAAUGCUGGCAACUGACAACAAAAUAUUUCUGAGCAGAGAUUGCAAUUUAAUCCAAACUACAUUUAGAGAGCAUGGGCAGAGAUUCAGAUUAGCAUU